Molecule: ribosomal RNA, 252 nt
Filed under: uncultured prokaryote
Description: partial 16S ribosomal RNA
Rfam family: Bacterial small subunit ribosomal RNA
Source: RNAcentral
AUACGUAGGGAGCAAGCGUUGUUCGGAUUUACUGGGCGUAAAGGGCGCGUAGGCGGCGCGGUAAGUCACUUGUGAAAUCUCUGAGCUUAACUCAGAACGGCCAAGUGAUACUGCAGUGCUAGAGUGCAGAAGGGGCAAUCGGAAUUCUUGGUGUAGCGGUGAAAUGCGUAGAUAUCAAGAGGAACACCUGAGGUGAAGACGGGUUGCUAGGCUGACACUGACGCUGAGACGCGAAAGCGUGGGGAGCGAACA